GGGGGUAACUUGGAAUUGACCGGUAUUUGUCAAUUAUUCAGGGCACGUAGUGAGAUGUAUUCUAUCACUUUAAUCUAUGAAUACAAUUUUCAAACGGAAACGUUUUAAAUAAGAUGUCGGCUGUAGGUUUACUUAGAGCUGAUGAAGUAGCAGUAGCGUAAGACGCACUCCUACAACGGGUAAGUGAGUGAAAUACCUAGGAACAGAAACUCCUAAAAAGGUGAAUGACCGUUGAAUCUUAAAUCGAAUGGUCCAUCGGUGGUUGUCUAACGAUGGUGAAAGACAAGACAACAAAUUUCGGAGUAUUAGAAAAUACUGGCCUAAACGUGUAGUCCUUAGUAGUUGGGGUAUUCGACACGAGGGUUCGAGUCCCUCUACCUCCACAA
RNAcentral lists this transfer-messenger RNA (386 nucleotides) under bacterium. It matches the Rfam family "transfer-messenger RNA". Rfam says of the family: Bacterial tmRNA, also known as 10Sa RNA or SsrA, is named for its dual tRNA and mRNA-like properties. Its role is to liberate the mRNA from a stalled ribosome. The record is from RNAcentral. RNAcentral also lists the same sequence under 2 other names.